UGGCGGACGGGUGAGAAACACGUGGGCAACCUGCCUCACAAUGAGGGAUAGCCCUCCGAAAGGAGGAUUAAUACCUCAUAACACAAGAGAAACGCAUGUUUCUUUUGCCAAAGAAUUUCGUUGUGAGAUGGGCCCGCGGCGCAUUAGCUUGUUGGUGAGGUAACGGCUCACCAAGGCUUCGAUGCGUAGCCGACCUGAGAGGGUGAUCGGCCACAUUGGAACUGAGACACGGUCCAGACUCCUACGGGAGGCAGCAGUGGGGAAUAUUGCACAAUGGAGGAAACUCUGAUGCAGCAACGCCGCGUGAGUGAUGAAGGUCUUCGGAUUGUAAAGCUCUGUCUUCUGGGACGAUAAUGACGGUACCAGAGGAGGAAGCCACGGCUAACUACGUGCCAGCAGCCGCGGUAAU
Molecule: ribosomal RNA, 409 nt
Filed under: uncultured bacterium
Lineage: Bacteria
Description: bacterial SSU rRNA
Rfam family: Bacterial small subunit ribosomal RNA
Source: RNAcentral